GCCUGGCUAGCUCAAUCGGUAGAGCGUGAGACUCUUAUUCAGAGGUCAUCUCAAGGCUGUGGGUUCAAGCCCCACGUCGGGCU
RNAcentral lists this transfer RNA (83 nucleotides) under Yarrowia lipolytica. It matches the Rfam family "tRNA". Rfam says of the family: Transfer RNA (tRNA) molecules are approximately 80 nucleotides in length. The record is from RNAcentral. Lineage: Eukaryota; Fungi; Ascomycota; Dipodascomycetes; Dipodascales.